This is a non-coding RNA of Camellia sinensis, 985 nucleotides long. The record is from RefSeq and is a predicted model, not a curated record. Lineage: Eukaryota; Viridiplantae; Streptophyta; Magnoliopsida; Ericales; Theaceae.
UUAUGUCUAUCAGACCCUUUUAGAUCCAAUAUCCUUUCAGAUCGAAGGAAAAGCUCCAUUCAUCCUCCAUGUGGAAGAGGAAAAUAAUAGUGUACUGCUUUUAAUCCUCAUAGAAGAACCAUCCUAAAAUUCCUAAUUUACAACAGAAAAUAAUUGUGAAAGGCCAGUUAGAACUAUUGGGUGCAUUUGAUAUUGAAGAUAAAGCCUCUGAAAUUUGAUGUGAGCCCAAAUCAAGUGACAAGAAACAAUAUCAGAAGUGAAAAGAAAGAAGGUCAAUAAUUUCAAAUACUUUUAUUUGGCUAUAUUUUAGAGCAAUAAUUUCAAUUUUAUAGUUGUUUUUAAUUGAUGACUUUUACAUCAUCCCUACAAUUACUCUCUUUGAAGUAUGUUUUCAUUCAUGUAAUUUAUUCAACCACAUUGGGGCAUUAUACAUGGUUAUCAAAAUCGCGAUUUGGAUCAUAGUCCUACAAUCCUAAAUUGUCAAAACGAUCCAAAUCGUUGUACGAUCGGUGUUAUAGUAGGAUCGCAAGUAGGAUCAUAUGUAGGAUCAUAAGUAGGAUCACUGGAUUUAUGAUUUUUCACCUUAUUUUUAUUAUUCAUCAUUCUAAUUUGUAUUUUUACCUAGAAAGUAGAAUCUUACGAUUCUCAAUCUGAUCCUACAAUCUGAUCCAUGAGACCCUCUCAUCGAUCCUAUGUAGGAUUCCAAUUUUAACAACCUUGGCAUUAUAUGGCCGCAAUGAUUUUUCUCGAUAGCUGAUUUUGGUAAGUUGGAUUAAAAAUGGAUUUACUUAACCUAGGUUUGAAUUUAUGCUAUUAAAUUGGUGAGGUAAUGUAACAUUAAAUUGACGUAUAUGUAUGACUUCCAAGUCUAAAGCUCCACAAAUCGUAUGAGUGAUAGUUUUUUUUUUUUUUUUGGGUACAAGGAACAAAAUCCACUAUUUAAGUGGUUAUAUGGGUUCGAUCGCCCCCCCCCCCCAAAAAAAAA